AUGGGUCUGGAGGCCGCCAUCGAGGCCCCUCGACACGUAGAAGUACACCGCCGUCUGCUCCUUGAGGGCGCCGUCAGCGAGGACGAGGAGUCCGAAGGGGCCGAGAGCGCCACGGUUGGCGGCACCACCGCUGGUGCUGCAGUUGUAGCCAACGUCGGCUUCGUUCACAGUGGCAACAGCGGAGGUGUCGAGGUGGAAGGUGGCCUCGAUGUCGAGUUGGGUGGCACGACGGAGCGGGAGAGGGAGCACACUGCCGGUGUCGAUGGUGGUGCCGCCGAGGGACGCCCAUCCCUUGGCGACGUCGGCGCGCUCGGAGUCGGUCUCGCCGAUCCACCCCCAGAGCACGCGGCGGUUCUUGGAGGGGUCGUAGAAGGUCUUGGACGCGUAGAACUUGCCCCAGUCGUACCUCAGCCCGAUCCCGACAUCCAUCUCCGGGUCUAUCGGCGUGUACUUGUUGGCCGCGGCGUCGUACCUCCCGAGCGCGUACCAGUCGUGGCGGUCGUCGUCGCUGCUCUCCUUCAUCACGUACAGCUCCUCCGAUCCAUCGGCGCCGCCGACGGGGUAGAAGUCGAUGCACUCCCACAUGCCGGUGCCGGGGACGCUGUGGAGCAGGCCGGGUAUGAGCUCGUAGUUGAUAAAGUCCUUGGUCUUGUAGGUCAUGACGAUGCCGGUGUGGCCAUGGUUGUCCUUGGAGCCGAUGACGGUGCGCCAGGUCUUGUCGGACUCGUCGAACCAUGCGGUGGUGGGGUCGCGGAAGUCCUUGUCGCCGAUGCCGGGCGGCGGGACGAGGAUGGGGUUGGCCUCGUACUUGGUCCAGUUGCGGAGGAGGGAGUCGUUGGGGUCGGCGGGGACGGCGAGGCACUGGACCUGCACGGAGGCGUUGGUGGAGCCGGUGUAGAGCAUGACGAGGGAGCCGUCGGGGAGCACGGUGGCGGAGCCGGUCCAGACGCCGUUGAUGUCGUACCACUGGUCGGGCACCAUGGCGAGGGGGAGGUGGCGCCAGUGGAUGAGGUCGCGGGACACGGCGUGGCCCCACGCGAUGUUCCCCCACACCGCCCCCUCCGGGUUGUACUGGUAGAAGAGGUGGUACCAUCCGCGGUAGUACACGGGACCUGCGAUAGAUGCAACACGAAGAGAUUUAAAUUAGGUGGACAUGUAGGAGCGUGGGUUGUGGAUUAA
This 1179-nucleotide ribosomal RNA is filed under the name Triticum aestivum (bread wheat). RNAcentral describes it as "partial small subunit ribosomal RNA". Lineage: Eukaryota; Viridiplantae; Streptophyta; Magnoliopsida; Poales; Poaceae. The record is from RNAcentral.